AAAAGAAAGAGCAUGAAGUAAAAGUGCAUGAAGAAGUGAAAGAACCUGAAAAAGAGGAGGCUGAGGUAAAAGUUCCAGAAGAGCUGGAUGAACCAGAAAGAAAAGAAAAGAAAACGAACUUAAAAAUUACUUUGAGAAAGAAAAAAGACGGAGAAGAAGCUGGUGAGGAACCUGAAAAAGCAAAGGGGAAGUCUAGGAAAUCAAUACCAAACAGGAAAAGGACAAGAAGUCAAUUGCUGAAAGAAGAAUUUCCCGAUCUUAUCAAAGAGGUAAAGCAGGAAUUGGAAGAGGCACAUAAGAAGAAGAGCUUGUUGCCUGCUGAGAAAAUUUCAACAAAAAAAGUUGCACCAAAUGCUAAGAAGGGGAAUGGA
This is a long non-coding RNA of Spinacia oleracea (spinach), 371 nucleotides long. RefSeq lists it as uncharacterized. The transcript is spliced from 3 exons. The record is from RefSeq and is a predicted model, not a curated record. NCBI's taxonomy places the organism in Eukaryota, Viridiplantae, Streptophyta, Magnoliopsida, Caryophyllales, Amaranthaceae.